RNAcentral lists this unclassified non-coding RNA (499 nucleotides) under uncultured Glomus. RNAcentral describes it as "SSU rRNA". It matches the Rfam family "Eukaryotic small subunit ribosomal RNA", at positions 591 to 1091 of the family's 1831-position model. The record is from RNAcentral. Lineage: Eukaryota; Fungi; Glomeromycota; Glomeromycetes; Glomerales; Glomeraceae.
CCAAUAGCGUAUAUUAAAGUUGUUGCAGUUAAAAAGCUCGUAGUUGAAUUUCGGGAUCAGUAGGUCGGUCGUGCCACUGGUAUGAACUGGUCUCACUGGUUCCUCCCUCUUGACGAACUGCAAUGCUAUUAAUUUAGUGUUGUAGGAAAUCAGGACUGUUACUUUGAAAAAAUUAGAGUGUUUAAAGCAGGCUUUGGCUUGAAUACAUUAGCAUGGAAUAAUGAAAUAGGACGUUCGAUCCUAUUUUGUUGGCUUCUAGGAUUGACGUAAUGAUUAAUAGGGACAGUUGGGGGCAUUAGUAUUCAAUUGUCAGAGGUGAAAUUCUUGGAUUUAUUGAAGACUAACUACUGCGAAAGCAUUUGCCAAGGAUGUUUUCAUUAAUCAAGAACGAAAGUUAGGGGAUCGAAGACGAUCAGAUACCGUCGUAGUCUUAACCAUAAACUAUGCCGACUAGGGAUCGGAUGAUGUUAAUUUUUUAAUGACUCAUUCGGCGCCUUAC